CUAAGUUUCAUUUCAAUUUGAGAUUGUUUCUUAAUAUUGAAAAACUCAAACAAAUCUAAUUUUGCUACAUACUAAAAAGUGCUAUUUAAUGUUUUAUACUUGUAAGAAUUUUGAGACGAAUGUAGAACCUAAGUAAAAAUGUAGGAACAGGGAAACACCUUAACUGAAUUUGUAGAUCGGUUGUGAAAGAUUCUUUCCAAAUAUAUCCAAAAGAAAGAAAGGGGCUAUUCUAUCCAUAAGCUGAUCAAAAGUAGUGAGAUUCAUUGAACAUGUCAAGAAUUGAACGAUCCACAGGCACAAGAUUUGCUGAAAUGAGACUUUACAUUAUAAUUUCUGUAUUAUCUGAAUAUAUUUUAAUUUAGAAUAUAUAUGAAUAUCAAAAACAUUCAAUACAUGUUUUACUUUCAUACUUGAAAAGGGGUUAGUUAAUGUUUUAUCCUUAAAGGAACAAAAAUACACAUGAUUUACUACAGCUUGAAAUUAAUAAAGAAGAAAACCCUUUAAAAAUAUCAUCCCAACAGUAAUAAAGGAUAAGAGGACCAUAGUUGCGUUGAGACGAUGACCUGAUACUCAAUAUCUGACCUUUUACAAUAUUGUCAUACCUGUUUACGUCAGGACCUGCAGCAUGUGUCUAAAUAUCUACAAGUAACUUUCAUUUGCAUGUCUUUCAAAUAUAUUUGUAUCAUUAAUUCGUUACAGGUUAAACAAACCGAGGAAUUUUACUUAUGAGUAUAAUGUUUAAAGUACGUCAUGCAGCUGAGGUUCCCCGGUAAUAGAAAGUAGGAUAUAAUUCAUUUUGCUACUGCAUCAAUAUCAUGUACUAGUAAUUGAAAUAUUUAUAUAACUAUGAAGUAAAUUUAGAAUUGAUCUGAACAUGGAAAGUAACUGCAAUUACAAAUAGUGGCAGCCUAGAACAUGUCGAAAAUGGAAUUGAUAAUUAAGUGCAUAUAUCAUUCUUGUAUCUUUAGGCUACAUUUUAGUUAAGGUGAUAUCUGAACAUUAUAAAAACAUAAUACGAAAACUCUUUGGGAGCACAGAAUACAGCUAAGCAAAAUACAAAAUACUCGGUUUGAUUGCGUCAGUUUAUAAGAGAUCAUGUAAAGUACAAUAUUUGUAUAUCCAAACACUGAUCUUGUAGAUAGAUUUGAACAUAACAAGAGAAACGACAAAAAAUUCAAAGAAGUGAAAGUCAUUGAAAAUGUUAGGAGAGAAUUUUAAAUUUUGAUGCAAUAAACGUAUGUAUGAUACAUAAAAAUACUUCUUUGUCUUCCGUAAUGUUUCAAAAACAAAGUUUAUGUUUUAUCCUUUUAAAUACACAGAUGGUAACCACAGCAUGACAACAAUGAAGUAAUUUCUAUAGCUUUUUUCUGUAGCCAAGACUCAGAAGAUAUAAUUCAAGCAACCAAAAAUACGUAAAGGACAAUUGUGGCCUAAAGUCUAUCACUCGAUCUUGAUUAUAAGACGUUGCAACAUUAUGUCAUACAUGUCUAUAUUUGGAUCUGUAGAUGCAAAAAGACACAGGUGGGAUCAUACAUUGAAAUUUAAGAAGAUUUAAAGUAUGUUACUGGAUCUGUAAAUUAGACUCAGCAUAUAUUACCCAAACAAUAAUAAGUAACAAGAGGGCCAUAGAGGCAUUUAGUCGCUAUCUUACAUUUGGUAUCAUACCUUGCACUAUUGUAUCUACAUCUGGAUCUCCAGCAAGGUUCUGAAUGUGCAAAAUGACACAGGUGGAAACGUGAAACUAUAGCAAGAUGUUAACUGGAUCUGUAGAUACGAUUCAGCACAUAUUAUCCACGCAACAGGGAGUAAUGAGAGGGACAUCGAGGCCUUAAGUCGCUCACUUGACCGAAAUUGCUAUGACAAUCUGAACUCUACAUGGAUGACCUAGAUUCGAAUGAAUCUGUCAGAGUAGCCACUCAAGAAACAUUGAUGUUAUUAGCUUGCUGGUUAGGGGUAUGGGAUGUCCUUUAAACAAAUUCGCCAAGGUUCGUAUUUAAAGAACAGACGACGGACUUUAAACGAUUACAAAACCUGAUCAAGUUCUGAUCUAAAAUGAAGAGUGAAGGGUUCGCAUACAACUGAGGCAAAUUAAAUGAGGAUGCAAUCGUACAUGCAGUUAGUUCAGUCAAUAGAGCCCCAUUCUGAAAGCCAGGGUUCUCGGGUUAGAGGCACAGAAUGACUACACUUGUUUCUCUCUGAAGACAGAGCAGCAAGAAAAACAACCACUUGUUAGGGCCCGAUGAAACAGGCCAGAGACAAAUAUAAUAACCAGUUGUGGUGAAGACAAAGAUCUACAGAGUCCUUCGUCUGUUCCGCCAUACAAAAAUCAAAGAGGAAAGCUUAUUUUCUAACUGUAUAUGGGCUGAAGAAUAAAUAUGCAAAAAGGGGUGCACACUUUGUUCCCAUGGUAAUACAAAUGUCUUGUCUGAUAACUGCAUUUCCAAACCUGACGUAAAUAUUGUUCAAUAAAAAGGAAAGGGCUUUACAAACUUCAUCACAUGUUCACAUUUUUUUUCAAUUUCACCAGUGAAAAAUUCUUUCCUCGAAAUUGCAAACGACAAAAGUAGCAUUUUUCCUAUCAAAAGUCUUUUGAAAUAAGGCAGUUAGUCCAUUCUUUUAUUAGGGUAUGUGGUUAAAUUGAAUACAAAGUAGAAGAAACAUCGCAUCUACUGACUGUAAGCCCCUUGUAAUUAUUAGUUUAAAAUUCAUCAAUAAUUACGCCAGGAUCUUUUAACGUACAUAAGAUUUUACCAUAAUGUUCAUAUACUGUAUCACAAUUAUCUUUUCACGUGGGCUUUUACAGCAGUAAGGCAUGAUGUUAAAUAUUGGAAAUGUUUGGAUAAAACGAGCUUUACGUGGUUGUUUAUCUAAUUUUGAAAUCAAGUACAUCCUUUGAAGUUUAAUUUUCUGUGAUGAAAUCCGUUAUCAAAUGUUGUUCAACAGGAGUGAUCAAUGUACAAACUGUAGUACUAUUUACUUCGUUUCGUAAAAUAUUAAUAUAAUUCAACAUCAUACGAUGAUCAUAUUGUUAGCCGUCUUCUCUAUUGAAAUAAAACAUACUUAGAAUGAUAUUCUUGGACUUUUUGUCGGAUACUUCAAAGUUAACUUGUGUUUACGUGGAAGUAGAUUCUUAUUUAUUUUAUAGAAUUUAAUACGAAAAUUGACAAUAUUAAAGAUAUUACGUUUCCAAGACGACAAUGCAUUGGGAUCAACAUUUU
Molecule: long non-coding RNA, 3218 nt
Organism: Mercenaria mercenaria
Lineage: Eukaryota; Metazoa; Mollusca; Bivalvia; Venerida; Veneridae
Exons: 7
Source: RefSeq, a predicted model, not a curated record